CAGCCGCCGCGGUAAUACGAAGGGGGCUAGCGUUGCUCGGAAUGACUGGGCGUAAAGGGCGCGUAGGCGGUUCGUACAGUUGGAUGUGAAAUUCCUGGGCUUGACCUGGGGGCUGCAUUCAAUACGUGCGGGCUAGAAUGUGGAAGAGGGUUGUGGAAUUCCCAGUGUAGAGGUGAAAUUCGUAGAUAUUGGGAAGAACACCGGUGGCGAAGGCGGCGACCUGGUCCAUAAUUGACGCUGAGGCGCGAAAGCGUGGGGAGCAAACAGGAUUAGAUACCCGCGUAGUCCCUGUCUCUUAUAC
This 301-nucleotide ribosomal RNA is filed under the name uncultured bacterium. Its description in RNAcentral is "partial 16S ribosomal RNA". It matches the Rfam family "Bacterial small subunit ribosomal RNA", at positions 509 to 807 of the family's 1533-position model. The record is from RNAcentral.